AUCUACCAAUCAAAUCCAAAUUGGGACAGGUACUGAUCCAUUUGAUCCACAGUCUGUCAUCACAAGUCUCUAUGGUACUAGAAGCUCUUCUGAUGAUGUCUAUGUGGAGACUAAUCAGAUGUGGAUGGCUGUCAUAGGAGGACUUUAUGACACCAAUCUCUUCAUAGAUGUUGCCAUCUUUGCUAUUGAUCUCUCAACUCUGUUGAAUUGCCCAGUGAGCAAUAAGAACGUGUUAUCAGUUCUGUGUGAUGGAGUGUACCAUUGCGAUCAUUAUGAAGACGAAUCGGAAUGCAAUUAUUCAACGACGUAUCUGCAAUCAGGCGAAUCUUAUUCAAUCGACAUACCACGCAACUACACCAGACGAUUUUACC
Lytechinus pictus (painted urchin) is the source of this 371-nucleotide long non-coding RNA. RefSeq lists it as uncharacterized. NCBI's taxonomy places the organism in Eukaryota, Metazoa, Echinodermata, Echinoidea, Temnopleuroida, Toxopneustidae. The record is from RefSeq and is a predicted model, not a curated record. The transcript has 3 exons.